This 32-nucleotide non-coding RNA is filed under the name Mus musculus (house mouse). The record is from RNAcentral. Lineage: Eukaryota; Metazoa; Chordata; Mammalia; Rodentia; Muridae.
GUUUCAGACCAUGGGUCUUCUGAACGGCGUGC